UACAAGCUUCUUAGACCCACUUUUAGCAUAUAUCUGUUCUACGUUUCUGGUAGAUCUCUUUGUACCCUGGUGUUGGGUUCUCCAAUGUGCUGGCAAAUGAUAUUCAUCAACCUUUAUGGUUGUACAGUCAAAGGUGCUUGAGUCAUUGGCAUGUUACAGUAAUAUACCUUCACUUUUAACCCCUCUGUUCUGAUGUGAAUGACCUGUUACUCCAAGCUGUUUUCUGCCAUCAGGGCUUUGCUGCUGUGUGGACUUG
This is a small nucleolar RNA of Carcharodon carcharias (great white shark), 256 nucleotides long. RefSeq annotates it as small nucleolar RNA SNORA53. The transcript has a single exon. Lineage: Eukaryota; Metazoa; Chordata; Chondrichthyes; Lamniformes; Lamnidae. The record is from RefSeq and is a predicted model, not a curated record.